CCUACGGGUGGCUGCAGUGGGGAAUAUUGCACAAUGGGCGCAAGCCUGAUGCAGCCAUGCCGCGUGUGUGAAGAAGGCCUUCGGGUUGUAAAGCACUUUCAGCGGGGAGGGAGGCGUUAAGGUUAAUAACCUCGGCGAUUGACGUUACCCGCAGAAGAAGCACCGGCUAACUCCGUGCCAGCAGCCGCGGUAAUACGGAGGGUGCAAGCGUUAAUCGGAAUUACUGGGCGUAAAGCGCACGCAGGCGGUCUGUCAAGUCGGAUGUGAAAUCCCCGGGCUCAACCUGGGAACUGCAUUCGAAACUGGCAGGCUAGAGUCUUGUAGAGGGGGGUAGAAUUCCAGGUGUAGCGGUGAAAUGCGUAGAGAUCUGGAGGAAUACCGGUGGCGAAGGCGGCCCCCUGGACAAAGACUGACGCUCAGGUGCGAAAGCGUGGGGAGCAAACAGGAUUAGAUACCCGGGUAGUC
RNAcentral lists this ribosomal RNA (465 nucleotides) under uncultured Klebsiella sp. RNAcentral's name for it is "bacterial SSU rRNA". It matches the Rfam family "Bacterial small subunit ribosomal RNA", at positions 338 to 795 of the family's 1533-position model. Lineage: Bacteria; Pseudomonadati; Pseudomonadota; Gammaproteobacteria; Enterobacterales; Enterobacteriaceae. The record is from RNAcentral.